CGCGUAGGCGGUUAGAUCAGUCGGGUGUGAAAGCCCCGGGCUCAACCUGGGAACUGCAUUCGAUACUGUCUGACUGGAGUAUGGGAGAGGGUAGUGGAAUUCCAUGUGUAGCGGUGAAAUGCGUAGAUAUGUGGAGGAACACCAGUGGCGAAGGCGACUGCCUGGCCCAAUACUGACGCUGAGGUGCGAAAGCGUGGGGAGCGAACAGGAUUAGAUACCCUGGUAGUCC
RNAcentral lists this ribosomal RNA (229 nucleotides) under uncultured bacterium. RNAcentral's name for it is "partial 16S ribosomal RNA". It matches the Rfam family "Bacterial small subunit ribosomal RNA", at positions 568 to 796 of the family's 1533-position model. The record is from RNAcentral.